This is a small nucleolar RNA of Aotus nancymaae (Ma's night monkey), 144 nucleotides long. Lineage: Eukaryota; Metazoa; Chordata; Mammalia; Primates; Aotidae. The record is from Ensembl.
UUAAAAUGAUGUCACACCUAGGGGAGGGUGGGCCCUAAAUCCAGUGACUGGGGUCUUUAUAAAAGAGGAAACAAAGUUUUUCGCUAACACCAUGAGGGUCUCUGGCCCGAUGAGUGGAGUUUGAUAGUAAUUCUUGCUACAGUA